Molecule: ribosomal RNA, 780 nt
Filed under: uncultured bacterium
Lineage: Bacteria
Description: bacterial SSU rRNA
Rfam family: Bacterial small subunit ribosomal RNA
Source: RNAcentral
GCAGUCGUACGAGAAAGGGGCUUCGGCCCUGAGUAGAGUGGCGCACGGGUGAGUAACGCGUGGGUAAUCUACCCUUGGAUUUGGGAUAACUCUGCGAAAGUGGAGCUAAUACCGGAUAGUCUGGCUUUAAAUAAGAAGUCGGUAAAGGAUGCCUCUGCAUAUGCAUUCGUCCGAGGAUGAGCCCGCGUCUCAUUAGCUAGUUGGUAGGGUAAUGGCCUACCAAGGCAACGAUGAGUAGCUGGUCUGAGAGGAUGAUCAGCCACACUGGAACUGAAACACGGUCCAGACUCCUACGGGAGGCAGCAGUGGGGAAUAUUGCGCAAUGGGCGAAAGCCUGACGCAGCAACGCCGUGUGAGGGAUGAAGGCUUUCGGGUCGUAAACCUCUGUCGGAAGGGAAGAACGGGUGGUGGUCUAAUAGGCCUCCAUUUUGACGGUACCUUUAGAGGAAGCACCGGCUAACUCCGUGCCAGCAGCCGCGGUAAUACGGAGGGUGCAAGCGUUAUUCGGAAUUACUGGGCGUAAAGCGCACGUAGGCGGCCUUGUAAGUCAGGGGUGAAAUCCCACGGCUCAACCGUGGAACUGCCUUUGAAACUGCAGGGCUUGAAUCCUGGAGAGGGUGGCGGAAUUCCUGGUGUAGGAGUGAAAUCCGUAGAUAUCAGGAGGAACACCGGUGGCGAAGGCGGCCACCUGGACAGGUAUUGACGCUGAGGUGCGAAAGUGUGGGGAGCAAACAGGAUUAGAUACCCUGGUAGUCCACACCGUAAACGAUGGAUACUAGG